RNAcentral lists this ribosomal RNA (492 nucleotides) under uncultured bacterium. Its description in RNAcentral is "partial 16S ribosomal RNA". It matches the Rfam family "Bacterial small subunit ribosomal RNA", at positions 29 to 507 of the family's 1533-position model. The record is from RNAcentral.
AGUGAACGCUGGCGGUAGGCCUAACACAUGCAAGUCGAACGGCAGCACAGUAAGAGCUUGCUCUUACGGGUGGCGAGUGGCGGACGGGUGAGGAAUACAUCGGAAUCUACUUUUUCGUGGGGGAUAACGUAGGGAAACUUACGCUAAUACCGCAUACGACCUACGGGUGAAAGCAGGGGAUCUUCGGACCUUGCGCGAUUGAAUGAGCCGAUGUCGGAUUAGCUAGUUGGCGGGGUAAAGGCCCACCAAGGCGACGAUCCGUAGCUGGUCUGAGAGGAUGAUCAGCCACACUGGAACUGAGACACGGUCCAGACUCCUACGGGAGGCAGCAGUGGGGAAUAUUGGACAAUGGGCGCAAGCUUGAUCCAGCCAUACCGCGUGGGUGAAGAAGGCCUUCGGGUUGUAAAGCCCUUUUGUUGGGAAAGAAAAGCAGCAGGUUAAUACCCCGCUGUUCUGACGGUACCCAAGGAAUAAGCACCGGCUAACUUCGUG